AGCUCCAAUAGCGUAUAUUAAAGUUGUUGCAGUUAAAAAGCUCGUAGUUGGAUCUGUGGUCUAUGCAAGGCUCCCGUCCCUCUCGGGUUUCGGUGUUGCGUUGCGUGAGGGGUGGAAUCUGUGUGGCAUUAGGUUGUCGUGCAGGGGAUGCCCAUCGUUUACUGUGAAAAAAUUAGAGUGUUCAAAGCAGGCUUAUGCCGUUGAAUAUGUUAGCAUGGAAUAAUGAUAUAGGACCUUGGUACUAUUUUGUUGGUUUGCGCACCGAGGUAAUGAUUAACAGGGUCAACUGGGGAUAUUCGUAUUCCGCUGUCAGAGGUGAAAUUCUUGGAUUUUUGGAAGACGAACUACUGCGAAAGCAUUUAUCAAGGAUGUUUUCAUUAAUCAAGAACGAAAGUACGCA
This 400-nucleotide ribosomal RNA is filed under the name phytoplankton environmental sample. RNAcentral's name for it is "partial small subunit ribosomal RNA". It matches the Rfam family "Eukaryotic small subunit ribosomal RNA", at positions 587 to 995 of the family's 1831-position model. The record is from RNAcentral.